AAAAAAGCAAGGUUCUUUAAGUUGAAGUUCCUUCUGAGAAUCUAUUUUUACUUUUAGUGGAAUUUCAAUCAAAUCGGUUAUAUAAAUCACACAUCUUUUCUUACCAUAAAUUGUGUGAGAUAAUGAGCAUUUUGAAACCAUUGAUGGUAUUUUGUUUUACGUUAUUAUAAUGAAUCAUAGUAAUUAUAGGCAAAGGUAGUAUCAUCAUAAUUAUUAUAGCUUUUAUUUUCUUACCAUAAAUUCAUGGGUUUUUUUUUUUUUUGUAAUAGUAGUUGUUGGGGCUAGUCUCAUGGAUUAUGAUGAGUGGCAUAACGUGAAACAUCAUAUUUGACACAUGGAAUUUUUGAUGUUCCUAGUUUUCUUCAAAGAGUCAAAUACUGUAUUCAAAUAUGUGGUCAUGGGGUUAUUUACCCUUGAGGUAGCUUCUUCAUUUCUCUCAUGUUUUAGCUUUGGAAUUAAAU
This 461-nucleotide long non-coding RNA is filed under the name Lathyrus oleraceus (garden pea). RNAcentral's name for it is "Pisum sativum (pea) long non-coding RNA (PSAT_LNC008822)". Lineage: Eukaryota; Viridiplantae; Streptophyta; Magnoliopsida; Fabales; Fabaceae. The record is from RNAcentral.